GUAGGCGAUGGAUAACAGGUUGAUAUUCCUGUACCACCUAUAAUCGUUUUAAUCGAUGGGGGGACGCAGUAGGAUAGGCGAAGCGUGCGAUUGGAUUGCACGUCUAAGCAGUAAGGCUGAGUAUUAGGCAAAUCCGGUACUCGUUAAGGCUGAGCUGUGAUGGGGAGAAGACAUUGUGUCUUCGAGUCGUUGAUUUCACACUGCCGAGAAAAGCCUCUAGAUAGAAAAUAGGUGCCCGUACCGCAAACCGACACAGGUAGUCAAGAUGAGAAUUCUAAGGUGAGCGAGCGAACUCUCGUUAAGGAACUCGGCAAAAUGACCCCGUAACUUCGGGAGAAGGGGUGCUCUUUAGGGUUAACGCCCAGAAGAGCCGCAGUGAAUAGGCCCAAGCGACUGUUUAUCAAAAACACAGGUCUCUGCUAAACCGUAAGGUGAUGUAUAGGGGCUGACGCCUGCCCGGUGCUGGAAGGUUAAGAGGAGUGGUUAGCUUCUGCGAAGCUACGAAUCGAAGCCCCAGUAAACGGCGGCCGUAACUAUAACGGUCCUAAGGUAGCGAAAUUCCUUGUCGGGUAAGUUCCGACCCGCACGAAAGGCGUAACGAUUUGGGCACUGUCUCAACGAGAGACUCGGUGAAAUCAUAGUACCUGUGAAGAUGCAGGUUACCCGCGACAGGACGGAAAGACCCCGUGGAGCUUUACUGUAGCCUGAUAUUGAAAUUCGGCACAGCUUGUACAGGAUAGGUAGGAGCCUUUGAAACGUGAGCGCUAGCUUACGUGGAGGCGCUGGUGGGAUACUACCCUAGCUGUGUUGGCUUUCUAACCCGCACCACUUAUCGUGGUGGGAGACAGUGUCAGGCGGGCAGUUUGACUGGGGCGGUCGCCUCCUAAAAGGUAACGGAGGCGCUCAAAGGUUCCCUCAGAAUGGUUGGAAAUCAUUCAUAGAGUGUAAAGGCAUAAGGGAGCUUGACUGCGAGACCUACAAGUCGAGCAGGGUCGAAAGACGGACUUAGUGAUCCGGUGGUUCCGCAUGGAAGGGCCAUCGCUCAACGGAUAAAAGCUACCCCGGGGAUAACAGGCUUAUCUCCCCCAAGAGUUCACAUCGACGGGGAGGUUUGGCACCUCGAUGUCGGCUCAUCGCAUCCUGGGGCUGUAGUCGGUCCCAAGGGUUGGGCUGUUCGCCCAUUAAAGCGGUACGCGAGCUGGGUUCAGAACGUCGUGAGACAGUUCGGUCCCUAUCCGUCGUGGGCGUAGGAAAUUUGAGAGGAGCUGUCCUUAGUACGAGAGGACCGGGAUGGACAUACCUCUGGUGUACCAGUUGUCGUGCCAACGGCAUAGCUGGGUAGCUAUGUGUGGACGGGAUAAGUGCUGAAAGCAUCUAAGCAUGAAGCCCCCCUCAAGAUGAGAUUUCCCAACUUCGGUUAUAAGAUCCCUCAAAGAUGAUGAGGUUAAUAGGUUCGAGGUGGAAGCAUGGUGACAUGUGGAGCUGACGAAUACUAAUCGAUCGAAGACUUAAUCAA
This 1516-nucleotide ribosomal RNA is filed under the name Staphylococcus aureus. RNAcentral describes it as "partial 23S ribosomal RNA". It matches the Rfam family "Bacterial large subunit ribosomal RNA", at positions 1411 to 2925 of the family's 2925-position model. Lineage: Bacteria; Bacillati; Bacillota; Bacilli; Caryophanales; Staphylococcaceae. The record is from RNAcentral.